Molecule: ribosomal RNA, 1716 nt
Filed under: Gammaproteobacteria bacterium
Lineage: Bacteria; Pseudomonadati; Pseudomonadota; Gammaproteobacteria
Description: partial 23S ribosomal RNA
Rfam family: Bacterial large subunit ribosomal RNA
Source: RNAcentral
GAGGAGCGUUCUGUAAGCCUGUGAAGGUGUGUCGUGAGGCAUGCUGGAGGUAUCAGAAGUGCGAAUGCUGACAUGAGUAACGAUAAUGCGGGUGAAAAACCCGCACGCCGAAAACCCAAGGGUUCCUACGCAACGUUAAUCGGCGUAGGGUGAGUCGGCCCCUAAGGCGAGACCGAAAGGUGUAGUCGAUGGGAAACUGGUUAACAUUCCAGUACUUUGUGUUACUGCGAUGGAGGGACGGAGAAGGCUAGAUCUACCGGGCGUUGGUUGUCCCGGGGAAAGUACGUAGGCAGAGGGCUUAGGCAAAUCCGGGCUCUUAAUGCUGAGAUACGAGACGACCGGUCUUUGUACCGGAAAGUGGUCGAUGCCAUGCUUCCAGGAAAAUCUUCUAAGCUUCAGGUAACACAGAACCGUACCGUAAACCGACACAGGUGGGUGAGGAGAGAAUCCUAAGGCGCUUGAGAAAACUCUGGUGAAGGAACUAGGCAAAUUGGUACCGUAACUUCGGGAGAAGGUACGCCCCUGCUGGUGAUGAGACUUGCUCUCUAAGCUGGUGGGGGUUGCAGUGACCAGGUGGCUGCGACUGUUUAUUAAAAACACAGCACUCUGCAAACACGAAAGUGGACGUAUAGGGUGUGACGCCUGCCCGGUGCUGGAAGGUUAAUUGAUGAGGUUAGUCUUCGGACGAAGCUUUUGAUCGAAGCCCCAGUAAACGGCGGCCGUAACUAUAACGGUCCUAAGGUAGCGAAAUUCCUUGUCGGGUAAGUUCCGACCUGCACGAAUGGCGUAACGAUGGCCACACUGUCUCCACCAGAGACUCAGUGAAAUUGAAAUCGCUGUGAAGAUGCAGCGUACCCGCGGCUAGACGGAAAGACCCCGUGCACCUUUACUAUAGCUUUACACUGAAUUUUGAAUCUGUUUGUGUAGGAUAGGUGGGAGGCUUUGAAGCGUGAUCGCCAGAUUGCGUGGAGCCAACCUUGAAAUACCACCCUGAUAUAUUUGGAGUUCUAACCUCGGUCCAUUAUCUGGAUCAGGGACCGUGUAUGGUGGGUAGUUUGACUGGGGCGGUCUCCUCCCAAAGAGUAACGGAGGAGCGCAAAGGUACUCUCAGUACGGUCGGACAUCGUACGUUGCGUGCAAAGGCAUAAGAGUGCUUGACUGCGAGACAGACACGUCGAGCAGGGGCGAAAGCCGGUCUUAGUGAUCCGGUGGUUCUGUAUGGAAGGGCCAUCGCUCAACGGAUAAAAGGUACGCCGGGGAUAACAGGCUGAUUCCUCCCAAGAGUCCACAUCGACGGAGGAGUUUGGCACCUCGAUGUCGGCUCAUCACAUCCUGGGGCUGUAGCAGGUCCCAAGGGUAUGGCUGUUCGCCAUUUAAAGUGGUACGCGAGCUGGGUUUAGAACGUCGUGAGACAGUUCGGUCCCUAUCUGCCGUGGGCGUUGGAAAUUUGAGAAGAGCUGCUCCUAGUACGAGAGGACCGGAGUGGACGUAUCUCUGGUGUUCCGGUUGUCACGCCAGUGGCAUUGCCGGGUAGCUAUAUACGGACGGGAUAACCGCUGAAAGCAUCUAAGCGGGAAGCCCCCUUCAAGAUUAGAUUUCCCUGGACCCUUGAGGUCCCUGAAGAGCCCUCGAAGACUACGAGGUUGAUAGGCUGGGUGUGGAAGCGUAGUAAUGCGUGAAGCUAACCAGUACUAAUUGCUCGUGCGGCUUGGCCAU